This is a long non-coding RNA of Entelurus aequoreus (snake pipefish), 1082 nucleotides long. RefSeq lists it as uncharacterized. Lineage: Eukaryota; Metazoa; Chordata; Actinopteri; Syngnathiformes; Syngnathidae. The record is from RefSeq and is a predicted model, not a curated record. The transcript is spliced from 4 exons.
GGUUAUUGCGAACGGACGCUAUGUGACUGCGUACUAGUACUACAUGAGGUUACUUUGAGUUCCUAACUUUUCUUUUACCCCGCCGCUCACGUAGUACUUUGAUUUAUUCCACCAGAGAGAGAGACAUUUAUACGUGUCACCCCCUGCGGUGGCACAGGCUGGGUCAGUUGCAUUGUUUUCAGUGUUUCCCGGCCGUCCCUAAUGUAGUGACCGCGUGUGUUUUCGUAUUUCCGCCCGGGCUGGAGGCGGAGCUACGUGACACCCACAGCUGAUUCUAAUCAACCCCAUUCAGUUGUUUGUUUUAUUGCUUAUUAUUGUUUGAUGCCGCAUGCUACGAUAAAGCGUGGACAAUUAAAGACUUGACGUCGCACUCACCGCUCUUGUCCUCGCCUCUUUUUGGGAUCCACGGCAGUAAUCCACGACAUUGAACAGUCCUGAGUGAGAUCCGCUGGCCAACGAGUCUUUGUGGGGACCAGGGAGGAGGCGGCCAUGUAUUGCUUCAACAACGCUGGCUUCUAUUCAGCCUUUCGUCCGCUCGUCUCUACAAGAUGAGGUGUGCCCGUCUCGCAAAGAAGUACAGUCCGUGGGACCUUCACACCUGGGUGGACUUCACCCGACGGAGAGAAAGCCGCACCCCCCGGUGGGUGGGGCAAGGCGGGGCGGUGCCGCCGCUGUCGGCAGGCAGGUCUAGACCGAGCUGACGGCCGAGUAAAAGCUGAGCGCCGCGUCCUUGGACGGGAAGGAUUUCCGGGCGGACGCCACCAAGUAAGGGUUCCCUGUGCAGGCGCGGUGCUCGGUGAUGUACUGCAGCGAGGACUGGCACCCCAGAGCCGUGUAGUUGGGCUUGCAGGUCGUCAGGAAAUGAGGCGUCUGGUUUCCUGUCACCACUUGACCCGCGUUGGCGAAGAUGGUGGUCGUGAAGAGGCCGAAGGAGUAGACGCCUGGCAAUGGAAUUGGACGGUCACGCUGACUUGGAACAAUUUUACUAUUAUAACAAUAAAAUAAAAUAAACAAUACAAAUGUCCAGCUUAACUGUGUAUAAAAUGAGGUCUGACUCAGUUAAGUUAAAGUUAAAGUCCCAA